AGAGUUUGAUCCUGGCUCAGGACGAACGCUGGCGGCGUGCUUAACACAUGCAAGUGGAGCGACGAACCAGGGCUUGCCCUGGGGCAGAGCCGCGAACGGGUGAGUAACACGUGGGUAACGUGCCCCAAUGACUGGGACAACCCGGGGAAACCCGGGCUAAUACCGGAUAUGCCCCCCGACCUUGGUCGGGUGUGUAAAGGAAGCUUCGGCCUCCGCAUUGGGAUCGGCCCGCGGCGCAUUAGCUUGUUGGUGAGGUAACGGCUUACCAAGGCAACGAUGCGUAGCUGGUCUGAGAGGACGAUCAGCCACACUGGGACUGAGACACGGCCCAGACUCCUACGGGAGGCAGCAGUGGGGAAUCUUGCGCAAUGCGCGAAAGCGUGACGCAGCAACGCCGCGUGGGGGAAGACGGCCUUCGGGUUGUAAACCCCUUUCAGUUGGGACGAAGGUCGGCGAGUUAAUAGCUCGUCCGGCUGACGGUACCUUCACAAGAAGCCCCGGCUAACUACGUGCCAGCAGCCGCGGUAAUACGUAGGGGGCAAGCGUUGUCCGGAAUCAUUGGGCGUAAAGAGCGUGUAGGCGGCCUUAUAAGUCGGCUGUGAAAGUCAAGGGCUCAACCCUUGAAUGCCGGCCGAUACUGUGAGGCUAGAGUCCGGAAGAGGCGAGUGGAAUUCCUGGUGUAGCGGUGAAAUGCGCAGAUAUCAGGAGGAACACCGAUGGCGAAGGCAGCUCGCUGGGACGGUACUGACGCUGAGACGCGAAAGCGUGGGGAGCGAACAGGAUUA
Molecule: ribosomal RNA, 785 nt
Filed under: uncultured bacterium
Lineage: Bacteria
Description: bacterial SSU rRNA
Rfam family: Bacterial small subunit ribosomal RNA
Source: RNAcentral